Canis lupus familiaris (dog) is the source of this 617-nucleotide long non-coding RNA. RefSeq lists it as uncharacterized. The transcript is spliced from 3 exons. Lineage: Eukaryota; Metazoa; Chordata; Mammalia; Carnivora; Canidae. The record is from RefSeq and is a predicted model, not a curated record.
AGGACCUUGGGACUCAGAAAGGAUAAGGGACCUGAACUACCACACAUAUAAGGAAGCAGUAAAGUCACAUAGCAUAGCUGAUAAAGUCUACACUGACAUCCAAGGUGCCUUCAGGACUUGCAAGCCAGCUCCACCUUGCAUGUAUGGCUGGAAUAUAUGGGAAAGUAGAGAGAGAAAACCUCAAGCUAUAGGAAUGGCCUCAAUCUAGAUGUCCAGAGGCCUAGGCUCUAGUCUGGGCUUAGCAAGUCAACUAACCACUGUGAGAAUGCAUGUUGUAUGGAUGUCAUCUUAUCCUCCAGCUGCCCAAGAAGGGGCCGGUGGGCAGGGUCCACCCACAGCAGCUUCUUGACUCCUGCAACUCUGAGCAUUUCCCCAGCUCACACCAAGGGAGGCCAGGCCAGGCAUCUGGAAAAUCCAAGGUUUUUUCCAAGCAGCUCUCUACUGCCUGAUGAUUCCCUCCAACGCCGGGGACUGGACCCAUUUCUUUUCCCAUCUUACUUUUUGGACUCGUCUCCUUCGACUUCUUGGUCUGACUUUGACAUUCUUUGUUUUUUCAAACUUCUUUUUUGUUUUAAAUUUCUAAGGUAAUACCUGCUUGUGGUUAAAUAAUAAUAACA